Salmo salar (Atlantic salmon) is the source of this 59-nucleotide non-coding RNA. Lineage: Eukaryota; Metazoa; Chordata; Actinopteri; Salmoniformes; Salmonidae. The record is from Rfam.
UAGCUCAGUUGGUAGAGCAUGGUGUUUGCAAUGCCAGGGGUUGUGGGUUCGAUUCCCAC